This 429-nucleotide ribosomal RNA is filed under the name Bacteroidota bacterium. Its description in RNAcentral is "Bacteroidetes bacterium partial 16S ribosomal RNA". It matches the Rfam family "Bacterial small subunit ribosomal RNA", at positions 355 to 776 of the family's 1533-position model. The record is from RNAcentral. Lineage: Bacteria; Pseudomonadati; Bacteroidota.
UAGGGAAUCUUCCGCAAUGGACGCAAGUCUGACGGAGCAACGCCGCGUGAGUGAAGAAGGAUUUCGGUUCGUAAAACUCUGUUGUUAGAGAAGAACAGCGCAUAGAGUAACUGUUAUGCGUGUGACGGUAUCUAACCAGAAAGCCACGGCUAACUACGUGCCAGCAGCAGCGGUAAUACGUAGGUGGCAAGCGUUGUCCGGAUUUAUUGUGCGUAAAGCGAGCGCAGGCGGUCAAUUAAGUCUGAUGUGAAAGCCCCCGGCUCAACCGGGGAGGGUCAUUGGAAACUGGUUGACUUGAGUGCAGAAGAGGAGAGUGGAAUUCCAUGUGUAGCCGUGAAAUGCGUAGAUAUAUGGAGGAACACCAGUGGCGAAGGCGACUCUCUGGUCUGUAACUGACGCUGAGGCUCGAAAGCGUGGGUAGCAAACAGG